This is a long non-coding RNA of Pipra filicauda (Wire-tailed manakin), 1059 nucleotides long. RefSeq lists it as uncharacterized. The record is from RefSeq and is a predicted model, not a curated record. The transcript is spliced from 7 exons. NCBI's taxonomy places the organism in Eukaryota, Metazoa, Chordata, Aves, Passeriformes, Pipridae.
GACUGUCCAUCGGGCCUGCCUUCCCGGGAACCUCCGUCUCUCUCGCGCCCGCCCGAGGGAAGCGUGCGGAAGGGCCCGCGGUUACUGAUACCCCGUCACGUCCUGCACGCCAGCCUGCCGUCAAAAUGUAGGGCUGGAGCUCAGCCUCCUCCCGAGGGGGGCCGAGACCCUCAGGUCUGCUUAAACCAUCGUGGAGACCUUUCCCAAGCGUCACAAGUAUGUUAAAUUACCUCGUGAUGUCAGCCUUAUCAAUACUGAAUUGCAGGGGAAAAAAGUUCAAGCAGAAUUCAGAUGGAGUGAAGCGGAUCAUCCAUAGAGAGUUAUAAGGACAAACUCAACAAACAGCAUUCAAAUCUUCAAAAUCUGUUGUCUGCAUUAAGCUCAGGACUUAAAAAUGAUGCACCUUGUCCCAGCAGGGAGAUCCAGAAUUCCUUAUUUAGACUUAUAGGUUCAUUUUUACUGCUUAUGGAGGUACCUCUGAAGCAAUAUCUAGAAUGCUCAUAUGCGAAGAAGACCCAAAGGAAAGAAAGAAUAGCUGGGUAAAUCAACCAAGUUUGGGUCCUUCUGAAAAAAAGGCAGAGAAAAUUUGGUUUCAGUUUCAGUUCAUUACCUUAAGUUACACCUGUUUCCACCAUGGAGAAAUCCAAAAUCAUCCUGUGCUUCCAUGGAAAGGGAUGCUGUUUCAAAUUUUCACAAAGGCAAACCAGUUUAGGUAUGUCUUUGUCCUGCUGACCAUGGUUCAAACGCUUACCACCUCUUCCUGUUUCAAGAGCAAGGCUCCCACCACAGUUACAAUCCCCUGAACCUCUGCUGAAGUUGAUUCAAGACAGCUUGUCCACCUGGGAUACUCACAUGAAGAAAGCCUUGCUGUACCCUGACUGUGUAUGAGCUACUCCAUGCUCUUGCUUCUUCAGCAUUAUCUUAGAGCAUAUGGAGCAUGAGGUGAACAUCUGUAUGUUGAAGUAAAGUGAGGUUCUCCUGCUCCAUGCUGUGAAAGUCCCAUGUCUAGAACAGGACAGGUACACAUGCUGAGAUCACCUGCUACCUUGUGACGCACCA